RNAcentral lists this ribosomal RNA (504 nucleotides) under Trichoderma sp. 43BDA. Its description in RNAcentral is "eukaryotic LSU rRNA". The stretch from base 115 to 268 matches the Rfam family "5.8S ribosomal RNA". The record is from RNAcentral. Lineage: Eukaryota; Fungi; Ascomycota; Sordariomycetes; Hypocreales; Hypocreaceae.
GGACGAGGGCGCCCGCAGGAGGACCAACAAGGCUCUUAUAGUCCCCCCCUCGCGGGAUAUUUUAUAAUCUGAGCCUUCUCGGCGCCGCUCGUAGGCAUUUCGAAAAUGAAUCAAAACUUUCAACAUGGGAUCUCUUGGUUCUGGCAUCAAUGAACAACGCAGCGAAAUGCGAUAAGUAAUGUGAAUUGCACAAUUCAUUGAAUCAUCGAAUCUUUGAACGCACAUUGCGCCCGCCAGUAUUCUGGCGGGCAUGCCUGUCCGAGCGUCAUUUCAACCCUCGAACCCCUCCGGGGGGUCGGCGUUGGGGAUCGGCCCUCCCUUAGCGGGUGGCCGUCUCCGAAAUACAGUGGCGGUCUCGCCCCACCCUCUCCUGCUUUUAGUUUGCACACUCGCAUCGGGAGCGCGGCGCGUCCACAGCCGUUAAACACCCAACUUCUGAAAUGUUGACCUCGGAUCAGGUAGGAAUACCCGCUGAACUUAAGCAUAUCAAUAAGCGGGAGUGAA